This 373-nucleotide ribosomal RNA is filed under the name uncultured organism. RNAcentral's name for it is "bacterial SSU rRNA". It matches the Rfam family "Bacterial small subunit ribosomal RNA", at positions 526 to 896 of the family's 1533-position model. The record is from RNAcentral.
CGUAGGAGACGAGCGUUAUCCGGAUUUACUGGGCGUAAAGCGUGUGCAGGCGGUUCGGCAAGUUGGAUGUGAAAUCUCCCGGCUCAACUGGGAGGGGUCGUUCAAUACUACCGAACUUGAGGUCAUCAGAGGAAGGUGGAAUUCCGGGUGUAGUGGUGAAAUGCGUAGAUAUCCGGAGGAACACCAGUGGCGAAGGCGGCCUUCUGGGAUGAUCCUGACGCUCAGACACGAAAGCUAGGGGAGCGAACGGGAUUAGAGACCCCGGUAGUCCUAGCUGUAAACGAUGUAGACUUGGCGUCGGAGGGUUCAAAAACCUUCGGUGUCGUAGCUAACGCGAUAAGUCUACCGCCUGGGGACUACGGCCGCAAGGUUA